GACGAACGCUGGCGGCGUGCUUAACACAUGCAAGUCGAACGGAAAGGCCCUGCUUUUGUGGGGUGCUCGAGUGGCGAACGGGUGAGUAACACGUGAGUAACCUGCCCUUGACUUUGGGAUAACUUCAGGAAACUGGGGCUAAUACCGGAUAGGAGCUCCUGCUGCAUGGUGGGGGUUGGAAAGUUUCGGCGGUUGGGGAUGGACUCGCGGCUUAUCAGCUUGUUGGUGGGGUAGUGGCUUACCAAGGCUUUGACGGGUAGCCGGCCUGAGAGGGUGACCGGCCACAUGGGGACUGAGAUCCGGCCCAGGCUCCUCCGGGAGGCAGAGGUGGGGAAUAUUGCACAAUGGGCGGAAGCCUGAUGCAGCAACGCCGCGUGCGGGAUGAGGGCCUUGGGGUUGUAAACCUCUUUCGCCUGGGACGAAGGGGGAGUGACGGUAAUGGGUAAAGAAGCACCGGCUAACUACGU
This 467-nucleotide ribosomal RNA is filed under the name uncultured bacterium. Its description in RNAcentral is "partial 16S ribosomal RNA". It matches the Rfam family "Bacterial small subunit ribosomal RNA", at positions 28 to 506 of the family's 1533-position model. The record is from RNAcentral.